Long non-coding RNA from Sebastes umbrosus (honeycomb rockfish), 153 nucleotides. RefSeq lists it as uncharacterized. Lineage: Eukaryota; Metazoa; Chordata; Actinopteri; Perciformes; Sebastidae. The transcript has 4 exons. The record is from RefSeq and is a predicted model, not a curated record.
AAUAUCAGAUCUACACUACAAGAUUAUAUUGGCCAAAAUAUCUCACAAUAAUGAUAUUAUUGCGAUAUAUCUAUAGAAAUGUUGGAGCAAAUAAUAAUGCUAUCAGUCAAAUUCAUCUUUAACUUUGUUUAUUGUGUGUUUUGUCUCUUUUUU